UCCGUAGGCGGGUAAUUAAGUCAGAGGUGAAAUCCCACAGCUUAACUGUGGAACUGCCUUAGAUACUGGUUAUCUUGAGUUUUAGUGAAGUAGAUAGAAUGUGUAGUGUAGCGGUGAAAUGCAUAGAUAUUACACAGAAUACCGAUUGCGAAGGCAGUCUACUAACUAACAACUGACGCUAAUGGACGAAAGCAUGGGGAGCGAACAGGAUUAGAUACCCUGGUAGUCC
Molecule: ribosomal RNA, 229 nt
Filed under: uncultured bacterium
Lineage: Bacteria
Description: partial 16S ribosomal RNA
Rfam family: Bacterial small subunit ribosomal RNA
Source: RNAcentral